RNAcentral lists this microRNA (24 nucleotides) under Medicago truncatula (barrel medic). Its description in RNAcentral is "mtr-miR2606c". The record is from miRBase by way of RNAcentral. Lineage: Eukaryota; Viridiplantae; Streptophyta; Magnoliopsida; Fabales; Fabaceae.
AGUUAAGAACCAUACAAAAAACAC